UGUGGCGACAUCACAUUAAAACACCAGUUCUCAUUUGAUCAUCAAAGUUAAGCAAUGUUGAGCCUGGCCAGUACCUAGAUUGGUCACCGUUUGAGAAUACUGUGUAC
This is a non-coding RNA of Acanthosepion pharaonis, 107 nucleotides long. Lineage: Eukaryota; Metazoa; Mollusca; Cephalopoda; Sepiida; Sepiidae. The record is from the annotation of a GenBank genome assembly.